This is a small nucleolar RNA of Salvia miltiorrhiza (redroot sage), 139 nucleotides long. RefSeq annotates it as small nucleolar RNA Z247. The transcript has a single exon. NCBI's taxonomy places the organism in Eukaryota, Viridiplantae, Streptophyta, Magnoliopsida, Lamiales, Lamiaceae. The record is from RefSeq and is a predicted model, not a curated record.
GUUUUUGAUGAUGAUGAUCAAAUAAUGCAUACGCUUGUAGGUUUAGGUGCUGAAUAUAACUCAGUCAUAGUCACUAUCAUUUCUAAGCCAGAAGUCUGGACUCUUGGUGAUGUUAUCUCAUUAUUAUUGAGUUUUUAGA